This 462-nucleotide ribosomal RNA is filed under the name uncultured bacterium. RNAcentral's name for it is "bacterial SSU rRNA". It matches the Rfam family "Bacterial small subunit ribosomal RNA", at positions 343 to 797 of the family's 1533-position model. The record is from RNAcentral.
GGGAGGCAGCAGUGGGGAAUUUUGGACAAUGGGGGCAACCCUGAUCCAGCCAUGCCGCGUGAGUGAAGAAGGCCUUCGGGUUGUAAAGCUCUUUCGCAAGGAAAGAAAACUUAGCCACUAAUACUGGCUGAGGAUGACGGUACCUUGAUAAGAAGCACCGGCUAACUACGUGCCAGCAGCCGCGGUAAUACGUAGGGUGCGAGCGUUAAUCGGAAUUACUGGGCGUAAAGCGUGCGCAGGCGGUUUGAUAAGCCAGAUGUGAAAUCCCCGGGCUUAACCUGGGAACUGCGUUUGGAACUGUCAGGCUAGAGUGUAGCAGAGGGGGGUAGAAUUCCACGUGUAGCAGUGAAAUGCGUAGAGAUGUGGAGGAAUACCGAUGGCGAAGGCAGCCCCCUGGGUUAACACUGACGCUCAUGCACGAAAGCGUGGGGAGCAAACAGGAUUAGAUACCCGUGUAGUCCU